AACAUGGGUUUCUCGUACGAUCACCUAAGUUAAGCACCGUUGAGCCUGGUCAAUACCUAGAUGGGUGACCGCUUGGGAAUACCAAGUGCUGUAAG
RNAcentral lists this ribosomal RNA (95 nucleotides) under Acanthosepion pharaonis. The record is from RNAcentral. Lineage: Eukaryota; Metazoa; Mollusca; Cephalopoda; Sepiida; Sepiidae.